This 301-nucleotide ribosomal RNA is filed under the name uncultured bacterium. RNAcentral's name for it is "partial 16S ribosomal RNA". It matches the Rfam family "Bacterial small subunit ribosomal RNA", at positions 509 to 807 of the family's 1533-position model. The record is from RNAcentral.
CAGUCGCCACGGGAAUACGAAGGGGGCUAGCGUUGCUCGGAAUGACUGGGCGUAAAGGGCGCGUAGGCGGAUUACGCAGUCAGAUGUGAAAUUCCUGGGCUUAACCUGGGGGCUGCAUUUGAGACGCGUAGUCUAGAGUGUGAAAGAGGGUCGUGGAAUUCCCAGUGUAGAGGUGAAAUUCGUAGAUAUUGGGAAGAACACCGGUGGCGAAGGCGGCGACCUGGUUCUUGACUGACGCUGAGGCGCGAAAGCGUGGGGAGCAAACAGGAUUAGAUACCCGCGUAGUCCCUGUCUCUUAUAC